Long non-coding RNA from Coffea eugenioides, 511 nucleotides. RefSeq lists it as uncharacterized. The record is from RefSeq and is a predicted model, not a curated record. The transcript has 2 exons. NCBI's taxonomy places the organism in Eukaryota, Viridiplantae, Streptophyta, Magnoliopsida, Gentianales, Rubiaceae.
CCUGGAGGUGAUGAUCAUGACCAACAUACAAAGCCUGCUUCAGAUCAUCGGGGCAAAAGUAUGGCCUAUCUGUGGAAGUCAAUUAAGGACUUUUUGGGGAAAAAGCAAUCUGGUAAAAGAUUCGCAUCAGUUGGCAUGGAAGCACCAGUUUCAUGGAGAGUUACUAGUCCCCUGCCACGUUGUUCACUCAUGAUUUACUCUCCUGCAAUUUUCAUCAUGACACUUGUAUUCACCUUGGUGGGAAGAACAGCUUACUGUAAAUUAUUUAGACAAGAGCCAAAAACCAAAAGUAUUUCUCCGCACCCUGAAGUCCAGCGCUAGUUGCUUUUGCCAUUUCUUGCAGUUUGUACCAAACUUGUAUUAAAAGCAAUUAGUAGUGGGGCGACUUGUGCAAUUCAACUAUUUUUUUUAUCUGUUACUCAAGAGAUGCUUUAGAGUGUAGAUGACUAUUGACUUGAAUUAUUGGGUAUAGCUAAGUUUUGGGUCAGGUUGGCGCACUUUGCAGGCAUUA